UACGGAGGGUGCAAGCGUUGUUCGGAAUUACUGGGCGUAAAGGGGAGGCAGGCGGUCUUGUGUGUCGAGGGUGAAAGCCCGGGGCUUAACCCCGGAGGGUCCUUCGAAACUACAAGACUAGAGUCCCAGAGAGGAUAGCAGAAUUCCCGGUGUAGCGGUGAAAUGCGUAGAGAUCGGGAGGAAUACCAGUGGCGAAGGCGGCUAUCUGGAUGGGAACUGACGCUGAACUCCGAAAGCGUGGGUAGCAAAC
This 250-nucleotide ribosomal RNA is filed under the name uncultured bacterium. RNAcentral describes it as "partial 16S ribosomal RNA". It matches the Rfam family "Bacterial small subunit ribosomal RNA", at positions 524 to 773 of the family's 1533-position model. The record is from RNAcentral.